This 358-nucleotide unclassified non-coding RNA is filed under the name soil metagenome. RNAcentral's name for it is "partial contains 5.8S ribosomal RNA, internal transcribed spacer 2, and large subunit ribosomal RNA". The stretch from base 1 to 120 matches the Rfam family "5.8S ribosomal RNA", at positions 35 to 154 of the family's 154-position model. The record is from RNAcentral.
GAUGAAGAACGUAGCGAAAUGCGAUAAGUAAUGUGAAUUGCAGAAUUCAGUGAAUCAUCGAAUCUUUGAACGCACAUUGCGCCCGUCAGUAUUCUGGCGGGCAUGCCUGUUCGAGCGUCAUUACGCCCCUCAAGUCCCCUGUGGACUUGGUGUUGGGGAUCGGCGAGGCUGGUUUUCCAGCACAGCCGUCCCUUAAAUUAAUUGGCGGUCUCGCCGUGGCCCUCCUCUGCGCAGUAGUAAAACACUCGCAACAGGAGCCCGGCGCGGUCCACUGCCGUAAAACCCCCCAACUUUUUAUCGUUGACCUCGAAUCAGGUAGGACUACCCGCUGAACUUAAGCAUAUCAAUAAGCGGAGGA